AGCGAACGCUGGCGGCAGGCCUAACACAUGCAAGUCGAACGAACCUUUCGGGGUUAGUGGCGGACGGGUGAGUAACACGUGGGAACGUGCCUUUAGGUUCGGAAUAACUCAGGGAAACUUGUGCUAAUACCGAAUGUGCCCUUCGGAGGAAAGAUUUAUCGCCUUUAGAGCGGCCCGCGUCUGAUUAGCUAGUUGGUUGAGGUAAUGGCUCACCAAGGCGACGAUCAGUAGCUGGUCUGAGAGGAUGAUCAGCCACAUUGGGACUGAGACACGGCCCAAACUCCUACGGGAGGCAGCAGUGGGGAAUCUUGCGCAAUGGGCGAAAGCCUGACGCAGCCAUGCCGCGUGAAUGAUGAAGGUCUUAGGAUUGUAAAAUUCUUUCGCCGGGGACGAUAAUGACGGUACCCGGAGAAGAAGCCCCGGCUAACUUCGUG
RNAcentral lists this ribosomal RNA (434 nucleotides) under uncultured bacterium. Its description in RNAcentral is "partial 16S ribosomal RNA". It matches the Rfam family "Bacterial small subunit ribosomal RNA", at positions 29 to 507 of the family's 1533-position model. The record is from RNAcentral.